AUUGAUAUAGCAAAGCCCGGCAUUGCAAAAGAUCUAAAAUCUUUCACACGGAGGUUCAAAUCCCCCUCUCAACA
This 74-nucleotide transfer RNA is filed under the name Ophisternon infernale. Its description in RNAcentral is "tRNA-Leu". It matches the Rfam family "tRNA". From Rfam's summary of the family: Transfer RNA (tRNA) molecules are approximately 80 nucleotides in length. Their secondary structure includes four short double-helical elements and three loops (D, anti-codon, and T loops). The record is from RNAcentral. Lineage: Eukaryota; Metazoa; Chordata; Actinopteri; Synbranchiformes; Synbranchidae.